RNAcentral lists this long non-coding RNA (1004 nucleotides) under Homo sapiens (human). RNAcentral's name for it is "TMC3 antisense RNA 1". The record is from RNAcentral. Lineage: Eukaryota; Metazoa; Chordata; Mammalia; Primates; Hominidae.
UGCUAGGGCGGCUGCUGCAGGGUGGGAGAGGAAAUGCGCGUGGAGACUGGGCGCGUGCAAUGGUGGGAGAGGUGUGUGGCAGGGGUGCGGGGAGUGGGGGUGAAGAGAAGAGGACCCAUCGUAGAGUGUUUAGGAGAUGGAAGGUGAAGGUCUCUGCCCCCGAUUGUGGAUGUUCAGAAGGAGAAAGCAUCAUGACUCCCAGCCUUGGCCACCUGGCAGCUUACCUGAGAUGGAGAAGAGAUAGGAAAGGGAGAUGCCAUGUGCUGGCCCAGCACUCCAACAGGGGCCUGACCUCUAGGAACGGGACACUGGAGGAAGCCUAGACAUCUGAACAAAUCAAGUCAUCCAGAUCCACGGUCAGCUCCUGCCCCGACUUGGCCUUCCUCCUGCUGGGCUGGCCCACGGACCUCGGGAACCUGCCCUGGCUGUGGGUGACCUGCAGCCUAUCUCCCAGGACUAUGGAAGCCCCAUGCAGGAACAUGGUUCUGACACUUUGGGGAUUAUACCCUAAGCUUAAAGGACUGGAAAAGCCCCUGAAGUCCCGAGACCACAACCCUCCACCUUCUAAAGAUAAGACAAGUCACUGAAGGUAAAAUCAGCUCCUCAGUGUCUCCAAGGACAGGAAUGCCAUGGGCUGGGAGGCGCCAUGGGUGAACAGACUUCCCUACUUCCUGCCUCCCCAAGGGUGGGGAGCAGUCUAGGGGAUGGCUGUACUCCUGGGCCCAGUGUCUAAGUGAAAAUUAGGAGGAAAUGGAGGGAGGGUGGCGAGCGAGGACAGACUGGCCAAGGUCCCCCGCAGCCACUCCUGAAGUCCUCACGAGGGAGAAGCAGCCUCUCCUUCCAGCCUUCCCCAAGUCCUCCCUAAGAGUGUAUUCUACUGGUUUCUGUGCAGAUUUUUUUCGGCUGCGACCAAUAGUAGCUUAAACAUGGAUUAUUUUCUUUUUAAUUUCUUCCUGCAAAAUUCUUAGGAAACCAUUAAUAAAAGUAAUAUACAUGUGAAAUAA